CCUACGGGAGGCAGCAGUGAGGAAUAUUGGUCAAUGGACGAGAGUCUGAACCAGCCACGUAGCGUGAAGGAUGACUGCCCUAUGGGUUGUAAACUUCUUUUAUAUGGGAAUAAAAUGUUCCACGUGUGGGAUUUUGUAUGUACCAUAUGAAUAAGGAUCGGCUAACUCCGUGCCAGCAGCCGCGGUAAUACGGAGGAUCCGAGCGUUAUCCGGAUUUAUUGGGUUUAAAAGGAGCGUAGGUGGAUGGUUAAGUCAGUUGUUAAAGUUUGCGGCUCAACCGUAAAAUUGCAGUUGAAACUGGCAGUCUUGAGGACAGUAGAGGUGGGCGGAAUUCGUGGUGUAGCGGUGAAAUGCUUAGAUAUCACGAAGAACUCCGAGUGCGAAGGCAGUUCAAUGGACUGCAACUGACACUGAGGCUCGAAAGUGUGGGUAUCAAACAGGAUUAGAUACCCCGGUAGUC
This 460-nucleotide ribosomal RNA is filed under the name uncultured bacterium. RNAcentral's name for it is "partial 16S ribosomal RNA". It matches the Rfam family "Bacterial small subunit ribosomal RNA", at positions 338 to 795 of the family's 1533-position model. The record is from RNAcentral.